UACGUAGGUGGCAAGCGUUAUCCGGAAUUAUUGGGCGUAAAGCGCGCGUAGGCGGUUUCUUAAGUCUGAUGUGAAAGCCCACGGCUCAACCGUGGAGGGUCAUUGGAAACUGGGAAACUUGAGUACAGAAGAGGAAAGUGGAAUUCCAUGUGUAGCGGUGAAAUGCGCAGAGAUAUGGAGGAACACCAGUGGCGAAGGCGACUUUCUGGUCUGUAACUGACGCUGAUGUGCGAAAGCGUGGGGAUCAAACAGGAUUAGAUACCCUGGUAGUCCACGCCGUAAACGAUGAGUGCUAAGUGUUAGGGGGUUUCCGCCCCUUAGUGCUGCAGCUAACGCAUUAAGCACUCCGCCUGGGGAGUACGACCGCAAGGUUGAA
RNAcentral lists this ribosomal RNA (376 nucleotides) under uncultured bacterium. RNAcentral describes it as "bacterial SSU rRNA". It matches the Rfam family "Bacterial small subunit ribosomal RNA", at positions 524 to 898 of the family's 1533-position model. The record is from RNAcentral.